UACGGAGGAUGCAAGCGUUAUCCGGAAUGAUUGGGCGUAAAGCGUCCGCAGGUGGCAAUGUAAGUCUGAUGUGAAAUCCCGGGGCUCAACCCCGGAACUGCAUUGGAUACUGCUUUGCUAGAGUACUGGAGAGGGAACUGGAAUUUACGGUGUAGCAGUGAAAUGCGUAGAGAUCGUAAGGAAGGCCAGUGGCGAAGGCGAGUUCCUGGACAGUUACUGACGCUGAGGCGCGAAGGCCAGGGGAGCAAACGGG
Molecule: ribosomal RNA, 253 nt
Filed under: uncultured bacterium
Lineage: Bacteria
Description: partial 16S ribosomal RNA
Rfam family: Bacterial small subunit ribosomal RNA
Source: RNAcentral